Molecule: ribosomal RNA, 448 nt
Filed under: uncultured bacterium
Lineage: Bacteria
Description: SSU rRNA
Rfam family: Bacterial small subunit ribosomal RNA
Source: RNAcentral
AGAACGAACGCUGGCGGCAGGCCUCAAACAUGCAAGUCUAGGGGGUGUAGCAAUACAUCACCGGCGGACGGGUGCGUAACACGUGGGAAUAUACCUUUUGGUUCGGAACAACGCAGGGAAACUUGCGCUAAUACCGAAUGUGCCCUUACGGGGAAAGAUUUAUCGCCAAAGGAUUAGCCCGCGUAGGAUUAGCUAGUUGGUGAGGUAAUGGCUCACCAAGGCUCCGAUCCUUAGCUGUUCUGAGAGGAAGAUCAGCCACACUGGGACUGAGACACGGCCCAGACUCCUACGGGAGGCAGCAGUUGGGAAUCUUGGACAAUGGGGAAACCCUGAUCCAGCCAUGCCGCGUGAGUGAUGAAGGCCUUCGGGUUGUAAAACUCUUUCGGACGGGGACGAUAAUGACGGUACCCGUAGAAGAAGCUCCGGCUAACUUCGUGCCAGCAGCCGC